GCGCUAGUGGUUCAGUGGUAGAAUUCUCGCCUGCCACGCGGGAGACUGGGGUUGGAUUGCCCGCUAGCGCA
Molecule: non-coding RNA, 71 nt
Organism: Dendronephthya gigantea
Lineage: Eukaryota; Metazoa; Cnidaria; Anthozoa; Malacalcyonacea; Nephtheidae
Source: the annotation of a RefSeq genome assembly